AAAAAGGGCUCGAUAUUAAAUCGAGAAAGUAUGGUUUUUAUAGUUUAAAAAAAUGGUUUUUUGAACUAAAUUCAAAUACAAUAACUAUGCAUUAUUAACAAAUGAAAUUAUAAUAAACAUAAAAAGAUAUUAAUCAACAUAAAAAAUGCUAAAGGAAGAUACAAUCAAAUAAAAAAAACAAAAAGAAAUAAAAUGCCAAAAACAGCCCCACAUGAGUAUUGAACCCACCCCACUCAAGAAUAUGAACACUGCCCUUCUCCACUAGGCCACUCAUCACUAUCUAUUACUAAGAUACUAUAGAACCCACCCCACUCAAGAAUAUGAACACUGCCCUUCUCCACUAGGCCACUCAUCACUAUCUAUUACUAAGAUACUAUGUUAACUAUAUGAACCGGACUAACAGAUUUAAAACAAAAUAAAAAAAAACAAAAUAAACAUUUUUACAUUUUCUGAUUUUUUAUUAAAAAGAACAAAAUAAAUAUUUUUGUGGGUUUUUUAUCUCUGUUAAAAAACAAAAAUAAACUAAAUAAAUAAAAGUAAAUAAUAAUAAUAAAAGAAAAUAAAAGCAUAAACACUUUUCUGAUUUUUUAUUAAAAAGAACAAAAAUAAAUAUUUUUGUGGGUUUUUUAUCUCUGUUAAAAAAAAACAAAAAUAAACUAAAUAAAUAAAAAGUAAAUAAUAAUAAUAAAAGAAAAUAAAAGCAUAAACACUUUUCUGAUUUUUUAUUAAAAAGAACAAAAUAAAUAUUUUUGUGGGUUUUUUAUCUCUGUUAAAAAAACAAAAAUAAACUAAAUAAAUAAAAAGUAAAUAAUAAUAAUAAAAGAAAAUAAAAGCAUAAACACUUUUCUGAUUUUUUAUUAAAAAUGAAAUAAGAUCAAAUAAUAAAAGAAAUAAAUAAAAAGAAAAAAAGGAAAAUGGAAACAGAAGCUCGUCUCUCUCACACGAGCUCAAACCUUCAGCAACAAUGGCAUCUUUCCAUCUCUCACACGAAUCCCUCUCUCGCUCUCAACAAACCCC
RNAcentral lists this long non-coding RNA (1017 nucleotides) under Lathyrus oleraceus (garden pea). RNAcentral describes it as "Pisum sativum (pea) long non-coding RNA (PSAT_LNC034851)". The record is from RNAcentral. Lineage: Eukaryota; Viridiplantae; Streptophyta; Magnoliopsida; Fabales; Fabaceae.